Molecule: ribosomal RNA, 390 nt
Filed under: Triticum aestivum (bread wheat)
Lineage: Eukaryota; Viridiplantae; Streptophyta; Magnoliopsida; Poales; Poaceae
Description: partial small subunit ribosomal RNA
Source: RNAcentral
AUGGUAGAAGAUGUUGUGAGGGCAGAGCAUUCCACUUCUCCUAAUAAGCCCAUCUAUCUAUUGAGGAAUUCCUUUGGAGGAUGCUUAGCUCUUGCAGUUGCUGGUCGCAAUCCCCGUAUUGAUUUGAUACUGGUACUAGUCAAUCCAGCUACUUCAUUUGAGAGGUCAGACAUAAAAAAGCUUCUGUCAGUUUUCAGCUCGAACAACGCCUAUAUUGCAAUUACAGCUCUACUGAACUACAACAUCGACAACGAGGUGAACAUGGCUCUGAGUAGAAUGCAAAGUGGGGAGCAUCCUUUAGAAGCACUCGGCAGAUUGACAAGUAACAUGUCAACUUUUCUGAAGCAAACGAAUAUACUGGACAAACUACCAGAAGACACACUAAAAUGA